This 411-nucleotide ribosomal RNA is filed under the name Agrobacterium pusense. RNAcentral describes it as "partial 23S ribosomal RNA". It matches the Rfam family "Bacterial large subunit ribosomal RNA", at positions 468 to 883 of the family's 2925-position model. The record is from RNAcentral. Lineage: Bacteria; Pseudomonadati; Pseudomonadota; Alphaproteobacteria; Hyphomicrobiales; Rhizobiaceae.
AUAUAAGAGACAGGACCGAUAGUGAACCAGUACCGUGAGGGAAAGGCGAAAAGAACCCCGGCGAGGGGAGUGAAAAAGAACCUGAAACCGUGUACGUACAAGCAGUGGGAGCCUCUUAAUGGGGUGACUGCGUACCUUUUGUAUAAUGGGUCAGCGACUUAUAUUCUGUAGCAAGGUUAACCGAAUAGGGGAGCCGAAGGGAAACCGAGUCUUAACUGGGCGUUAAGUUGCAGGGUAUAGACCCGAAACCCGGUGAUCUAGCCAUGGGCAGGUUGAAGGUUGGGUAACACUAACUGGAGGACCGAACCGACUAAUGUUGAAAAAUUAGCGGAUGACUUGUGGCUGGGGGUGAAAGGCCAAUCAAACCGGGAGAUAGCUGGUUCUCCCCGAAAGCUAUUUAGGUAGCGCCUC